CCUACGGGUGGCAGCAGUCGAGAAUCAUUCACAAUGGGGGUAACCCUGAUGGUGCGACGCCGCGUGGGGGAAUGAAGGUCUUCGGAUUGUAAACCCCUGUCAUGUGGGAGCAAAUUAAAAAGAUAGUACCACAAGAGGAAGAGACGGCUAACUCUGUGCCAGCAGCCGCGGUAAUACAGAGGUCUCAAGCGUUGUUCGGAAUCACUGGGCGUAAGGCGUGCGUAGGCUGUUUCGUAAGUCGUGUGUGAAAGGCGCGGGCUCAACCCGCGGACGGCACAUGAUACUGCGAGACUAGAGUAAUGGAGGGGGAACCGGAAUUCUCGGUGUAGCUGUGAAAUGCGUAGAUAUCGAGAGGAACACUCGUGGCGAAGGCGGGUUCCUGGACAUUAACUGACGCUGAGGCACGAAGGCCAGGGGAGCGAAAGGGAUUAGAUACCCGGGUAGUC
RNAcentral lists this ribosomal RNA (446 nucleotides) under uncultured bacterium. RNAcentral describes it as "partial 16S ribosomal RNA". It matches the Rfam family "Bacterial small subunit ribosomal RNA", at positions 338 to 795 of the family's 1533-position model. The record is from RNAcentral.